GUGGAUGCAUGAUCCUUGAACUAGUGACGGCGUUAAGACAAAUUGGCAAGACACUGACGCAGGGUCGGCAACCCUUCGAGGUGGGCGAUGCUUGCAACCAACCAGGAACUCUGCACAAUAUGAAUCUGUCGAAAGAUUCAGAAGCCAAUAGCACCGUCAUGUGCAAUUGCACCCUUCACCUCAAUAAUGAUGGUUAUUGUCAUAUCACGUCACUAUAUCUAAAAACGCUCAGUCUUCCAGGCGAGCUCCCGCCUGAAAUGGCCAACCUUGCAUAUCUUGAAAUUCUGUAAGAAACUUUUCACGAUAUAUUUUAUUUGUGUUUCUAUGUGUAUUGAUUGUAGAAUCUCAAAGUAACUUUUAUCGACUAAUUUACAAAUUGUGGAAUGGAAAUACUUAAUAA
Long non-coding RNA from Populus euphratica (Euphrates poplar), 400 nucleotides. RefSeq lists it as uncharacterized. The record is from RefSeq and is a predicted model, not a curated record. Lineage: Eukaryota; Viridiplantae; Streptophyta; Magnoliopsida; Malpighiales; Salicaceae. The transcript has 2 exons.